RNAcentral lists this ribosomal RNA (497 nucleotides) under uncultured bacterium. RNAcentral's name for it is "partial 16S ribosomal RNA". It matches the Rfam family "Bacterial small subunit ribosomal RNA", at positions 28 to 507 of the family's 1533-position model. The record is from RNAcentral.
GAUGAACGCUGGCGGCGUGCCUAAUACAUGCAAGUCGAGCGAACAGAUGAGGAGCUUGCUCCUCUGACGUUAGCGGCGGACGGGUGAGUAACACGUGGAUAACCUACCUAUAAGACUGGGAUAACUUCGGGAAACCGGAGCUAAUACCGGAUAAUAUAUUGAACCGCAUGGUUCAAUAGUGAAAGACGGUUUUGCUGUCACUUAUAGAUGGAUCCGCGCCGCAUUAGCUAGUUGGUAAGGUAACGGCUUACCAAGGCAACGAUGCGUAGCCGACCUGAGAGGGUGAUGGGCCACACUGGAACUGAGACACGGUACAGACUCCUACGGGAGGCAGCAGUAGGGAAUCUUCGGCAAUGGGCGAAAGCCUGACGGAGCAACGCCGCGUGAGUGAUGAAGGUCUUCGGAUCGUAAAACUCUGUUAUUAGGGAAGAACAAAUGUGUAAGUAACUAUGCACGUCUUGACGGUACCUAAUCAGAAAGCCACGGCUAACUACGUG